Molecule: small RNA, 28 nt
Filed under: Bombyx mori (domestic silkworm)
Lineage: Eukaryota; Metazoa; Arthropoda; Insecta; Lepidoptera; Bombycidae
Description: ovarian small RNA-16352
Source: RNAcentral
GCACGACCGGGAAGUAGGAUUAACAUGC